This is a non-coding RNA of Vicugna pacos (alpaca), 129 nucleotides long. The record is from RefSeq and is a predicted model, not a curated record. NCBI's taxonomy places the organism in Eukaryota, Metazoa, Chordata, Mammalia, Artiodactyla, Camelidae.
GGGGCAGGGUGGGGUGGGGGGGUAACAAGAUGUUUCCAGAACCUUUAGAGGGUGGGAUCCUGGAACCAAGAUCCUUUCAAAGAGCAGGAAAACCUUGGCCGGAGGGAACGUGCACACGUCUGAUCUCCA